This 28-nucleotide non-coding RNA is filed under the name Bombyx mori (domestic silkworm). The record is from RNAcentral. Lineage: Eukaryota; Metazoa; Arthropoda; Insecta; Lepidoptera; Bombycidae.
GCGCUGUUCGAGUACCGGUAGAAGCUGA